This 87-nucleotide transfer RNA is filed under the name Bacteroidota bacterium. RNAcentral's name for it is "Bacteroidetes bacterium (hydrothermal vent metagenome) tRNA-Leu". It matches the Rfam family "tRNA". From Rfam's summary of the family: Transfer RNA (tRNA) molecules are approximately 80 nucleotides in length. Their secondary structure includes four short double-helical elements and three loops (D, anti-codon, and T loops). The record is from RNAcentral. Lineage: Bacteria; Pseudomonadati; Bacteroidota.
GCCGAAGUGGUGGAAUUGGUAGACACGCUGGACUCAAAAUCCAGUGAUAGCGAUAUCGUGUGGGUUCGAGUCCCACCUUCGGUACCG